GUCACACCAUGAGAGUCGGGAACACCCGAAGUCCGUAGCCUAACCGCAAGGGGGGCGCGGCCGAAGGUGGGCUCGAUAAUUGGGGUGAAGUCGUAACAAGGUAUC
This 105-nucleotide ribosomal RNA is filed under the name uncultured bacterium. Its description in RNAcentral is "partial 16S ribosomal RNA". It matches the Rfam family "Bacterial small subunit ribosomal RNA", at positions 1396 to 1500 of the family's 1533-position model. The record is from RNAcentral.